RNAcentral lists this ribosomal RNA (125 nucleotides) under uncultured Clostridium sp. RNAcentral describes it as "partial 16S ribosomal RNA". It matches the Rfam family "Bacterial small subunit ribosomal RNA", at positions 383 to 525 of the family's 1533-position model. Lineage: Bacteria; Bacillati; Bacillota; Clostridia; Eubacteriales; Clostridiaceae. The record is from RNAcentral.
CUGAUGCAGCAACGCCGCGUGAGUGAUGACGGUCUUCGGAUUGUAAAGCUCUGUCUUUUGGGACGAUAAUGACGGUACCCAAGGAGGAAGCCACGGCUAACUACGUGCCAGCAGCCGCGGUAAUA